RNAcentral lists this transfer RNA (74 nucleotides) under Blattabacterium cuenoti BPAA. RNAcentral's name for it is "tRNA-Pro (GGG) (tRNA-Pro-GGG-1-1)". It matches the Rfam family "tRNA". Rfam says of the family: Transfer RNA (tRNA) molecules are approximately 80 nucleotides in length. Lineage: Bacteria; Pseudomonadati; Bacteroidota; Flavobacteriia; Flavobacteriales; Blattabacteriaceae. The record is from RNAcentral.
CGGGGUGUAGCUCAGUCGGUUAGAGUACACGUCUGGGGGGCGUGUGUUUGCUGGUUCAAAUCCAGUCACCCCGA